Molecule: ribosomal RNA, 478 nt
Filed under: uncultured bacterium
Lineage: Bacteria
Description: partial 16S ribosomal RNA
Rfam family: Bacterial small subunit ribosomal RNA
Source: RNAcentral
GAUGAACGCUAGCGGCAGGCCUAACACAUGCAAGUCGAGGGAGAAGCCCUUUCGGGGGCAGAAACCGGCGCACGGGUGCGUAACGCGUAUGCAACCUACCUUUCACAGGGGGAUAGCCCGAAGAAAUUUGGAUUAAUACCCCAUAAUAUUAUUGGAUGGCAUCAUUUGAUAAUUAAAACUGCGGUGGUGAAAGAUGGGCAUGCGUCCUAUUAGCUAGUUGGAGUGGUAACGGCACCCCAAGGCUACGAUAGGUAGGGGUCCUGAGAGGGAGAUCCGCCACACUGGUACUGAGACAGGGACCAGACUCCUACGGGAGGCAGCAGUGAGGAAUAUUGGUCAAUGGUCGGAAGACUGAACCAGCCAUGCCGCGUGCAGGAAGAAUGCCUUAUGGGUUGUAAACUGCUUUUAUAUGGGAAGAAUAAGGCGUACGUGUACGUUGAUGACGGUACCAUAUGAAUAAGCAUCGGCUAACUCCGUG